AAAACGAACGCUGGCGGCAGGCCUCAAACAUGCAAGUCUAGGGGGUGUAGCAAUACAUCACCGGCGGACGGGUGCGUAACGCGUGGGAAUGUACCUAUUGGUUCGGAACAACUGAGGGAAACUUCAGCUAAUACCGGAUGAGCCCGAAAGGGGAAAGAUUUCUCGCCAAUAGAUCAGCCCGCGUCCGAUUAGCUAGUUGGUGGGGUUAAAGCCUACCAAGGCGACGAUCGGUAGCUGUUCUGAGAGGAAGAUCAGCCACACUGGGACUGAGACACGGCCCAGACUCCUACGGGAGGCAGCAGUUGGGAAUCUUGGACAAUGGGGGAAACCCUGAUCCAGCCAUGCCGCGUGAGUGAUGAAGGCCUUCGGGUUGUAAAACUCUUUCGACGGGGACGAUAAUGACGGUACCCGUAGAAGAAGCUCCGGCUAACUUCGCGCCAGCAGCCGC
RNAcentral lists this ribosomal RNA (448 nucleotides) under uncultured bacterium. RNAcentral describes it as "SSU rRNA". It matches the Rfam family "Bacterial small subunit ribosomal RNA", at positions 26 to 518 of the family's 1533-position model. The record is from RNAcentral.